Molecule: long non-coding RNA, 1144 nt
Organism: Xiphophorus hellerii (green swordtail)
Lineage: Eukaryota; Metazoa; Chordata; Actinopteri; Cyprinodontiformes; Poeciliidae
Exons: 3
Source: RefSeq, a predicted model, not a curated record
AGCGUCUUCAUACAUCAUUGAGCAAAUCUAUUUAUUGAAGCACUUCUAUUCAAAACUGGAAACUCGAAGAUUUAUGAGACAGUAGAAAAAUAUUUAAAGCAUCUCUCCAAAGAACUUUGAUCUUAAAAUCCAGAGGAGUUAAGUAUCCAAAACUUACAGCCCAUUGAAGCCAUGAUACGUUUACUUCACAAGUAGCUGUGAAGUAAAACUCAGCUGCAAGCAUCUAGAGACCAACCCAAAUCCUUCAGGAAACUACGCCUCCCAUGAUGCACCACGCCGUACUUUUCCAGCUGGAAGCACGACGAUCCAGAACGCCAUCCGAUGAAACGCUGAGAGGUCAGAGGGACGGCGGAGGAAGAGCCGACCUGGACAGGAGGACAGGUGGAGCACAGGUAGACAGCAGUCCGGGACCAGAGGUGCUGGCUGAGCCUUACCUGGACGGGUUUCUGUGGAGGGGUCAAAGGUCGAACCGUCAGCCCCGGGCCUGGAGGCGCUCUGCUCUGCCCUGCAUGUUUCAGAUGUUCCUCUGCUCCAACGCUUCACUCAGAUUCAGAAAUCCCUUCAUCGGCCGUCAGGGGAAACCCAAAGCCUGCAGCCUUCAGGACCGGGGUGGAAAAACACCGUAGAAACUGGAAAAUAUCACGUCCAAAAACCCAAAGAGUCAAACAGAGAAUGGCUCAACAGCAGAGUUAAAUUCUGAUUCAUCUGCUGCUUUAAUCCUCACAGAUUUACGGAUAGGGUUGGGGUUGGAUUAGGGUUGGGGUUGGAUUAGGGUUGGGGGUUUUAUCAUUUCCAGUACCAGAGGAACAAUAACUGGGAAACCUGGUGUAGUUUGUCACUCAGAACCAGUUUGCACUUUUGGCUUUUUCCUCUUUUGCUUUUGGACAAUUUUAAUGUGUAACCAUGGCAACGAGGUGGGAGCAGCUGAUUCGAGUCCUUAAUCUGAAUUUUGACCCCAAAUCCCAGAGAGCUGAUACCAGGGAUUGUAUCAGCUUUGUGGGAUUUCUAUCAGCUGAUUUCUGUAUAAAGUUCUUGAUAUUCUAGUAAUAAAGUUCGAUCUAAGGUUGGAAUUUGGAAAGUGUUAUUUACAGCUGAAACCAGACAUUUAAAGAUAAUAAAAUAAUGGAUCCAUUUUUUCUCUCUA